RNAcentral lists this ribosomal RNA (734 nucleotides) under uncultured bacterium. Its description in RNAcentral is "bacterial SSU rRNA". It matches the Rfam family "Bacterial small subunit ribosomal RNA", at positions 44 to 794 of the family's 1533-position model. The record is from RNAcentral.
GUGCUUACACAUGCAAGUCGAGCGAUGAAGCACCUUCGGGUGUGAAUUAGCGGCGAACGGGUGAGGAACACGUGAGAAAUCUGCCUUCAACUCUGGGAUAACUCCGUGAAAACGGGGCUAAUACCGGAUAUGAGAUCUACAGGCAUCUGUGGAUCUGGAAAGUUUUUCGGUUGAAGAUGAUCUCGCGGCCUAUCAGCUUGUUGGUGAGGUAAUGGCUCACCAAGGCGACGACGGGUAGCCGGCCUGAGAGGGCGACCGGCCACACUGGGACUGAGACACGGCCCAGACUCCUACGGGAGGCAGCAGUGGGGAAUAUUGGGCAAUGGAGGAAACUCUGACCCAGCGACGCCGCGUGCGGGAUGAAGGCCUUCGGGUUGUAAACCGCUUUCAGCAGGGAAGAAGCGAAAGUGACGGUACCUGCAGAAGCAGCCACGGCUAACUUCGUGCCAGCAGCCGCGGUAAUACGAAGGUGGCAAGCGUUGUUCGGAUUUACUGGGCGUACAGGGAGCGUAGGCGGUUGGGUAAGCCCUCCGUGAAAUCUCCGGGCCUAACCCGGAAAGUGCGGAGGGGACUGCUCGGCUAGAGGAUGGGAGAGGAGCGCGGAAUUCCCGGUGUAGCGGUGAAAUGCGUAGAGAUCGGGAGGAAGGNCGGUGGCGAAGGCGGCGCUCUGGAACAUUUCUGACGCUGAGGCUCGAAAGCGUGGGGAGCAAACAGGAUUAGAUACCCCUGGUAGU